Long non-coding RNA from Dermacentor andersoni, 418 nucleotides. RefSeq lists it as uncharacterized. The record is from RefSeq and is a predicted model, not a curated record. NCBI's taxonomy places the organism in Eukaryota, Metazoa, Arthropoda, Arachnida, Ixodida, Ixodidae.
GUUUGUUUGCUUACGCUGCGUAAUUAGCAAUGAGUCGUAGUUGCGCUUUGGUUUUAAGGUGACAUUGUGAUCGAUUGCUUCGUUAAGGGCUGUGCCAACGCAUAGUUGCACUUUUCGCUGCUGAAAGAGAAUUUAGUUUUCCAGGACACUGUGCACUCAAGUGUGUGUCGGGGUCGUAGAGUGAACAUAUGGCGGAAUAUGAAGCGAUCAGCGUGAUCAAUGUCUGAAACUUCAUCAGCGUGCUAAACUUGGGAGCCGCAAAACAAGUGCUACAAGAACUCGUAGACUGUUUCCCGACCGCAUUUGUGAUAUAGCAAGGAAACCAGUCUGAAACGCAAAGAACAGUGCAACACAAGGACAACGCAUGUGCCUAUUACAGCCACACUGUUGCCGUGAAGGAACUGCUGCUGUUUGAGCC